UAGAUACCUGUAAGAACCCAUGGUGGCAAGAGACACACCAUUCCUGUCUUCCUCCUCCCCAAAGCCAAAAAGAAGAGACAGUGAGACAGGAGCUUGACACAUGGUAAUACUUAAGACACCAUCUGCAACUGAACAUAGAAAUGUAACAAGCAGAAGCAACAAUUUCAGGAUAAGGGAGAAGAGGAUGAAGAAGUGAAGGUUCAAAGAGGGGAAGCAGGAAAACUGAAAGGACUCUCUGGCUUCCAUUACCAGAAAAACAAUCUCCUGUGCCCCACAUAACAUGAAUUAAAAAGUUCCUUUCAUAGC
Molecule: non-coding RNA, 306 nt
Organism: Ictidomys tridecemlineatus (thirteen-lined ground squirrel)
Lineage: Eukaryota; Metazoa; Chordata; Mammalia; Rodentia; Sciuridae
Source: RefSeq, a predicted model, not a curated record